RNAcentral lists this ribosomal RNA (253 nucleotides) under uncultured bacterium. RNAcentral describes it as "partial 16S ribosomal RNA". It matches the Rfam family "Bacterial small subunit ribosomal RNA", at positions 524 to 776 of the family's 1533-position model. The record is from RNAcentral.
UACGAAGGGGGCUAGCGUUGCUCGGAAUCACUGGGCGUAAAGCGCACGUAGGCGGGUUCUUAAGUCCGGGGUGAAAUCCUGGAGCUCAACUCCAGAACUGCCUUUGAUACUGGGAAUCUCGAGUCCGGGAGAGGUGAGUGGAACUGCGAGUGUAGAGGUGAAAUUCGUAGAUAUUCGCAAGAACACCAGUGGCGAAGGCGGCUCACUGGCCCGGUACUGACGCUGAGGUGCGAAAGCGUGGGGAGCAAACAGG